GUGGGGAAUUUUGGACAAUGGGCGCAAGCCUGAUCCAGCAAUGCCGCGUGCAGGAAGAAGGCCUUCGGGUUGUAAACUGCUUUUGUACGGAACGAAACGGUCCGGGUUAAUACCCUGGGCUACUGACGGUACCGUAAGAAUAAGCACCGGCUAACUACGUGCCAGCAGCCGCGGUAAUACGUAGGGUGCAAGCGUUAAUCGGAAUUACUGGGCGUAAAGCGUUCGCAGGCGGUUUUGUAAGACAGGCGUGAAAUCCCCGGGCUCAACCUGGGAAUUGCGCUUGUGACUGCAAGGCUGGAGUGCGGCAGAGGGGGAUGGAAUUCCGCGUGUAGCAGUGAAAUGCGUGGAUAUGCGGAGGAACACCGAUGGCGAAGGCAAUCCCCUGGGCCUGCACUGACGCUCAUGCACGAAAGCGUGGGGAGCAAACAGGAUUAGAUACCCCGGUAGUCC
Molecule: ribosomal RNA, 450 nt
Filed under: uncultured bacterium
Lineage: Bacteria
Description: partial 16S ribosomal RNA
Rfam family: Bacterial small subunit ribosomal RNA
Source: RNAcentral